CCGCGCGCGCACGCACGCACGCACACACACACAGUGCUGAGAAUGGAGGAGAGAGCGAGGCCUAGCUACACCUGAACGCAGGUGCCCGCCAAGCUGAGCGCCAGGAGCGGGAGGGAUGCAGCCGGAGCUGGGCCAGAGCACAGAGAUCUGCGGGAACACGACCACAGUCACAGGAAAGCAUGGACCCUGAUUGGGGCAAGGGAUGUUUGAAAAGAUGCUGAGUGAAACCAAGGCUCUUCAACUGAAGGAGAAGGAAAAAUUUGGCGGGCCAAAUCCAUAGUUACCAGGAGAACGUAAAAGUGCAGAUCAGGAAGAAAAUUGCUACCCUAUAACUUCCUCACAAGACCUUCUACUGUUCCUGUGCUCAUUCAAUACCUGCUGAAAUCGAAACUGUAUAAAACAUCACUGAAGUCUACUGCAAGAAUUCUCAACACCAUUCAACGACAGUCGCACAGCUGCAGUAUCCAACCCAAGUUCACAGAAAGAAAUGAGAUGCAGUAAGAAACAGAAAAGGCCACAGGCAUUUCAUUGCACCUCUUGGUCAACUAAUGAAGUGAAGACAAAAACAGAAUUACCUGGAAAAACUCAGCAGGUCUGGCAGCAUCGGCGGAGAAGAAAAGAAUUGACGUUUCGAGUCCUCAUGACCCUUCGACAGAAGUGAAGCAUCACUCCUACCAACACUCGUCGAACGUUAAAAAUAAGCUGCUGGGAAGCAGAACUCUAACAUGUUAAAUGCCAUGCUGUGCUAAGCAGACGGAGGUCAAUCUGCUGAGAGGUCUAGUCUGCUUACUAUGCAUUGCCAUGUCAAAUACCAAUGUCAGUCAGCAAUCUGAUAUAAAUGCAACUUUAAUGGAUCCUUACUCUAUCAAUAUUUCUACCAAUACACAAAAUUGCUGCUCCAUCCAGCCCCAACCGUAUAUAAGCAUUUAAGUACAGUGUUUAGAAUCACCCAAUGUACUGCAGAAUCAAUGCACUGUUUAGUUUGAUCUUGGUCUGAUAUCUGAAUAAGGACAGUAUUAGGGGAGCUACAAUUAGACUCAGGCCAUCUGGGUUAGGGAGGGAGGAAUUGGCUGUGGUUCCCGCUCCUAAUCACUAACUAGUGAUCCUGCUGCAAAAACUUUGUAUAUAUGUUGUGUGAAGACAGAGUUAGGGUUCAGCCUCAAUCGUCUCCUCCAACCUGUCAUCAAAUAGCCUGCUGAUACAGUGCCAAAAGAUAACGAUAUCUCGGUUAAGGUCAUGAACGUUGCCCAGCUGUCAAGUAAAGGGAGAAAAAACUUGCACAUUUUGACCUUCCACUGCGACGAAAAAGUAGAUAGUAUUAGAGGCUCCGUUUAGUCAAGUCAAACUGAACCUUCAAUACAAUAAAGUCCCACCAUUCGCAGGGGUUACGUUCUUGGAGAACUUCGCAAACACCGAACAUAUUUUAUAAUGGGAGUCAAUUAGAUAGGUUCGAACCAGUCAAAAAAAUUUCAUAUGUGUAGAGAAUAAAAGGCAAUAAAAACAAUGUUUUUAAUAAAUAUAAAGAUGAGCCGCUGUUAAACAAAAUAAGAAAUAUAUAUUCACCACACUUUCCUUUAUUAUAAGGCUCUCCAGCCGUAUGUGAUGGGCUUGGAGGUGGAGUUGGUGGAGGUUUACUUGAAAGUGGAGAUGAAGGGAGUGGAUGAGGUGGCUGAUGUAGAUGUUGAGCUAAAUGCAGAUUCACAGAAAACUGAGCACUGCUCAGCCUGAUGAAGAGCAAGAUAGCACUACAAAAUGGAGGUGCUCGCCUAAAGGUCCAAACAGCAUCCCACAAAUAGCAGUUAAAGCCAUCUUGGGGAUCAGAGUUCAGGGAGAAGUACUUCAAAUAUCAACAGAAAUGCUAUGCACAGCCUUUCUGCUUCUUUACACCUCAAUCUGCAAGAUCAUAUAAUGGCAUUCUGACCUCCCGCCA
RNA transcript from Carcharodon carcharias (great white shark), 1930 nucleotides. RefSeq lists it as uncharacterized. NCBI's taxonomy places the organism in Eukaryota, Metazoa, Chordata, Chondrichthyes, Lamniformes, Lamnidae. The transcript is spliced from 4 exons. The record is from RefSeq and is a predicted model, not a curated record.